Molecule: ribosomal RNA, 442 nt
Filed under: uncultured bacterium
Lineage: Bacteria
Description: partial 16S ribosomal RNA
Rfam family: Bacterial small subunit ribosomal RNA
Source: RNAcentral
CCUACGGGAGGCUGCAGUAGGGAAUCUUUCACAAUGGGCGAAAGCCUGAUGGAGCAACGCCGCGUGCAUGAUGAAGGCCUUCGGGUUGUAAACUGCUUUUAUAAGCGAGAAAUAUGAUGGUAACUUAUGAAUAAGGAUCGGCUAACUACGUGCCAGCAGCCGCGGUCAUACGUAGGAUCCGAGCAUUAUCCGGAGUGACUGGGUGUAAAGAGUUGCGUAGGUGGCAUAAUAAGUAGCUAGGGAAAUCUGGUGGCUCAACCAUUCAGACUAUUAGUUAAACUGUGAAGCUCGAGACCGUUAGGGGUAAGUGGAAUUUCUGGUGUAGGAGUGAAAUGCGUAGAUAUUAGAAGGAACACCGAUGGCGUAGGCAGGUUACUGGGACGGUUCUGACGCUGAGGCCCGAAAGCGUAGGGAGCAAACGGGAUUAGAUACCCGUGUAGUC